RNAcentral lists this ribosomal RNA (550 nucleotides) under uncultured archaeon. Its description in RNAcentral is "bacterial SSU rRNA". It matches the Rfam family "Archaeal small subunit ribosomal RNA", at positions 326 to 876 of the family's 1478-position model. The record is from RNAcentral.
CGGGGUGCAGCAGGCGCGAAAACUUUACAAUGCCGGCAACGGCGAUAAGGGAACCUCGAGUGCCAGGUUACAAAUCUGGCUGUCGUGAUGCCUAAAAAGCAUUGCAUAGCAAGGGCCGGGCAAGACCGGUGCCAGCCGCCGCGGUAACACCGGCGGCUCGAGUGGUAACCGUUAUUAUUGGGUCUAAAGGGUCUGUAGCCGGCCGGAUAAGUCUCUUGGGAAAUCUGGCAGCUUAACUGUCAGGCUUUCAGGAGAUACUGUCUGGCUCGAGGCCGGGAGAGGUGAGAGGUACUUCAGGGGUAGGGGUGAAAUCUUGUAAUCCUUGAAGGACCACCAGUGGCGAAGGCGUCUCACCAGAACGGACCUGACGGCAAGGGACGAAAGCUAGGGGCACGAACCGGAUUAGAUACCCGGGUAGUCCUAGCCGUAAACGAUACUCGCUAGGUGUCGGCCACGGUGCGACCGUGGUCGGUGCCGUAGGGAAGCCGUGAAGCGAGCCACCUGGGAAGUACGGCCGCAAGGCUGAAACUUAAAGGAAUUGGCGGGGGAG